UGGGGCGUAGCCAAGUGGUUAAGGCACGGGACUUUGACUCCCGCAUCCCAGGUUCGAAUCCUGGCGCCCCAGCCA
RNAcentral lists this transfer RNA (75 nucleotides) under Gammaproteobacteria bacterium. Its description in RNAcentral is "tRNA-Gln". It matches the Rfam family "tRNA". Rfam says of the family: Transfer RNA (tRNA) molecules are approximately 80 nucleotides in length. Their secondary structure includes four short double-helical elements and three loops (D, anti-codon, and T loops). Further hydrogen bonds mediate the characteristic L-shaped molecular structure. tRNAs have two regions of fundamental functional importance: the anti-codon, which is responsible for specific mRNA codon recognition, and the 3' end, to which the tRNAs corresponding amino acid is attached (by aminoacyl-tRNA synthetases). tRNAs cope with the degeneracy of the genetic code in two manners: having more than one tRNA (with a specific anti-codon) for a particular amino acid; and 'wobble' base-pairing, i.e. permitting non-standard base-pairing at the 3rd anti-codon position. The record is from RNAcentral. RNAcentral also lists the same sequence under 2 other names. Lineage: Bacteria; Pseudomonadati; Pseudomonadota; Gammaproteobacteria.